Molecule: ribosomal RNA, 253 nt
Filed under: uncultured bacterium
Lineage: Bacteria
Description: partial 16S ribosomal RNA
Rfam family: Bacterial small subunit ribosomal RNA
Source: RNAcentral
UACGAAGGGGGCUAGCGUUGUUCGGAUUUACUGGGCGUAAAGCGCACGUAGGCGGAUCGUUAAGUCGGGGGUGAAAUCCCGGAGCUCAACUCCGGAACUGCCUUUGAUACUGGCGACCUUGAGGCUGGAAGAGGUUAGUGGAAUUCCCAGUGUAGAGGUGAAAUUCGUAGAUAUUGGGAAGAACACCAGUGGCGAAGGCGGCUAACUGGUCCAGAUCUGACGCUGAGGUGCGAAAGCGUGGGGAGCAAACAGG